GCCGGAGUGGCGGAACUGGCAGACGCACAGGACUUAAAAUCCUGCGGUCCCUCAAGAUCGUACCGGUUCGAUUCCGGUCUCCGGCA
Molecule: transfer RNA, 86 nt
Filed under: Proteiniborus sp. DW1
Lineage: Bacteria; Bacillati; Bacillota; Clostridia; Eubacteriales
Rfam family: tRNA
About the family: Transfer RNA (tRNA) molecules are approximately 80 nucleotides in length. Their secondary structure includes four short double-helical elements and three loops (D, anti-codon, and T loops). Further hydrogen bonds mediate the characteristic L-shaped molecular structure. tRNAs have two regions of fundamental functional importance: the anti-codon, which is responsible for specific mRNA codon recognition, and the 3' end, to which the tRNAs corresponding amino acid is attached (by aminoacyl-tRNA synthetases). tRNAs cope with the degeneracy of the genetic code in two manners: having more than one tRNA (with a specific anti-codon) for a particular amino acid; and 'wobble' base-pairing, i.e. permitting non-standard base-pairing at the 3rd anti-codon position.
Source: Rfam by way of RNAcentral